RNAcentral lists this ribosomal RNA (109 nucleotides) under Carlito syrichta (Philippine tarsier). Lineage: Eukaryota; Metazoa; Chordata; Mammalia; Primates; Tarsiidae. The record is from RNAcentral.
GUCUAUGGUUAUACCACCCUGAGUGUGUUUGACCUCAGAAGCUAGGAAGGGUCAGCCCUAGUCAGGACUUGGAUGGGAGACUGCUUGCAAAUACUGGAUACUGUUAGCU